Molecule: long non-coding RNA, 466 nt
Filed under: Anser brachyrhynchus (Pink-footed goose)
Lineage: Eukaryota; Metazoa; Chordata; Aves; Anseriformes; Anatidae
Description: lncRNA (ENSABRG00000006073.1)
Source: RNAcentral
AUGCUCAGCACCUGGAGAUGCUUUGAAUUCUCUGUCUUAGCUUGAAAGUAAUAAUUGGCAUGUUUCAUUUUAAUUGUUUGCCAAAUGGUAUAUGUUAUGGACACAUUUAGUAAGUGUGUGCUCUUCAGAGUCCCUAGGUGAGCUGGAAAGGCCAUCCAGGGAACAUUGCUUCAGAAACAAAUGUGAGAAAAAUCAAACAGCAGGGCACGAGUGGGGAACAUCUGUCAGAAAGAAGAAAGGAAAAUGUGAGUUGCUGCUUCUUCUGGGUGACUUUAAGAAUGAUCGUCUGUCCAUUGAAAAGUACACAAUCUUUUAGAAACAAACCAGUAAGGAGUCUCAAUUGAAGCACAUGGGAAUCUUAUGCAGCCCUUUCUGCUAUGAGCAGGGAGAUAAAAUCAAGCAUUGUCAUGCUGGGAUCCUCUCCCUCUCUGCUACACUUCUGUGGAGUGUAACCAAAGCAAGGAUC